This 455-nucleotide long non-coding RNA is filed under the name Anser cygnoides (Swan goose). RNAcentral describes it as "lncRNA (ENSACDG00005001284.1)". The record is from RNAcentral. Lineage: Eukaryota; Metazoa; Chordata; Aves; Anseriformes; Anatidae.
AGAAGUGAUGACCGCAGGAAGAGGCGCUGCCUUUUUACCUGCCUGUCGUCAUUGUGAGCACACAAUCAGUCCACAGGGUCCAGGUUACCGUCUCCAUCUGUUGACAUACGGAAACCAAGGCAACCAAGCCGGCCUCCUGGCCUUCCUUACCCCAAAAUUCCGAGCAGAGACUCCCCGGGACAGAAUCUGUUGUUGGUGCACAACCUCUCCCAGAAAGAACUUGGUGUCCUUAGGGACAAGUUCUUGGGCAGAUCAUUGCAGUAGAGUACUGUUUUAUUGUGAAAACUUGAGGCUGGACUCCAAUUAAUAGCCAGAAACUACAGGAGAAAAUAAGAGUGAAGUCGUGUAUACUGAGAAAUACGAGACGCUUUCUGCAGAAACAAAGGAUGUACAUGCAAUGAUGCACUCAGACAAACUCUCAGAAAGCUGAGAUGAAUCUAGGAAUAUCAAGAUUU